This is a small nucleolar RNA of Megalobrama amblycephala (Wuchang bream), 315 nucleotides long. Lineage: Eukaryota; Metazoa; Chordata; Actinopteri; Cypriniformes; Xenocyprididae. The record is from RefSeq and is a predicted model, not a curated record.
GCCCUGUGAUGAUAAAAAGGCAAAUAUGAGCGUAUUGGCUGGGAUCUUGUGUUCUCUUGCUCUCUGAUUGGUGGGUAAUCUUGGUAGAGCAGUGGAGAUUUGCUGCGCUGCUGUAAGGGCCCACCCAUAUCAAUGCCAGCUGUCUUUCAUAAUACAAUUCUCCUUUAGAAAUGGACAUUUGUGGCUGAUUUGGCAGCUUAUAGUGUGUGUGUGUGUGUGUGUCCCUGAGUGUGUGUAAAUGUAUCAGUUAGCAAAGAGUCACAUCUCCUAAUGGGCCAACCAGCUGUGAACCUUUUCUUUGGUAAUCUGAGGGCA